RNAcentral lists this long non-coding RNA (2748 nucleotides) under Sus scrofa (pig). Its description in RNAcentral is "lncRNA (ENSSSCG00040075438.1)". The record is from RNAcentral. Lineage: Eukaryota; Metazoa; Chordata; Mammalia; Artiodactyla; Suidae.
AAGUGACUCGCUCAGGGUCUUUUGGCAAACCGAAGCCUGGGUCGCCCAUCUUUGAGUUCUAGCUUUUCCCAGUCUAUCCUAACGCUUCUAAAGACCAGGCUUGCCGCAUGAGAAUUCACUGCUCAACUGUGUAUUUCUUGCUGUCUCUGCAGAUGAAAAGCUCCAUUCUGAACCUUCAACUGCUAGAAGUGGGGGAGUUAGACUUGUGGGCCCUAAAUGCCAAGAGGGUCUAGGAAGAAAAGGUUCUCAGACAUAUUCUCCUAUUUGAGUACCACUGUCCUGUGGAAGUUAUCUUGGUUCAAUUGCCAAUGCCAGAAAUAGGCUACUAGGGUGUUUCUUGUUUUUUUGUUUGUUUGCUCCUUUGAUAUUAGUUAUUAAUUGGACCAUGGGAGAUGAAAGGCAGGAAGAAAAUAAAUGGGUAGUUUUUAACGCCCUUAUUUAUUUAUUUAUUUAUGUAUUUAUGUAUUUAUUGGCUACACCCUUGGCAUACAGAAGUUCCCAAGCCAGGGAUCAGACCACAGCACUGCCACAUGGCCACGGCAGUGACAAUGCCUGAUCCUUAACCCACUGAGCCACCUGGGAACUCCUUAGCUCCAUACUUUAAAACGGAAUACUUUUUUUUUUCUCGUUUUUAGGGCCUCACCUGCAGCAUAUGGAAGUUCCCAAGUUAGGGGCCGAGUCAAAGCUGCAGCUGCCAGCCUACGCUACAGCCAGAGAAAUGCUGGAUCUUUAACCCACUGAGCGAGGCCAGGGAUUGAACCUACAUCCUCAUGUAUGCUAGUCGGGUCCUUAACCUGCUGAGCCACAGUGGGAACUCCAAAACCGAAACCUUUGAGAGGAGGAAGAGCUAGUCUUGUGGUUGACUUUCUCUAUCUAAGCCAUGGAUACACCUGUAACCCUCAAAGAAUUGAUCCCAAUUUACCGAUGGGGAAGUGACAUCAGAGAGAGGCCAAGCACUUGCCCAGGGUCAUUUGAUCACAGGAAACAGCCUUUCGGAAGCCUUGUUCCAGAAUUUGUGCUUCUAGUCCCAGAGGAUGGGGCUCCAGGCGCAAUACACACUGCUCUUCUCCAGACCUAUCCUGAGAGUUAUCCUCAGUAGGAGGUUGGUAUGAAUUAUCUGGGCCACCAUCACUUCUUUUCUAUAUCUCAAGAAGAAAUGAAGCAGGCCUUAAAAGUAAAAAGAAGUGGAGUUCCCAUUGUGGCGCAGCGGAAAUGAAUCCAACUAGGAACCAUGAGGUGGCAGGUUUGAUCCCUGGCCUUGCUCAGUGGGUUAAGGAUCUGGCGUUGCCGUGAACCGUGGUGUAGGUCGCAGACAUGCCUCAGGUCUGGUGUUGCUGUGGCUGUGGUGUACGCUGGCAACUACAGCUCUGAUUCAACCCCUAGCCUGGGAACCUCCAUGUGCCGAGAGUGCAGGCCUAAAAAGACAAAUAGACCAAAAAAAAAAAGAAAAAGUAAAGAGGUGUGGAAGAGUCCAAGAGUCCAAGGAUUUAAUGCUUCUUUAUUUUAUUUUAUUUUACAAUAUUUCUCUAUUUUUUAAACUUCUGUUAUUUAAGUGACUUAGAAAGAUAUCCUGAAGAUCUAAACAGACAGUUCUCCAAAGAAGACAUACCGAUGGCCAAAAAACACAUGAAAAGAUGUUCAACAUCACCCAUUAUUAGAGAAAUGCAAAUCAAAAGCACUAUGAGGAACCACCUUACACCAGCCAGAAUGGCCAUCAUCAAAAAGAGGGUGUGGAGAAAAUGGAACCCUAUUACACUGUUGGUGGGAAUGUAAAUUGGUGCAACCACUGUGGAAAACAGUAUGGAGAUUCCUCAGAAAACUAAAAAUAGAUCUACCUUUUGAUCCAGCAAGCCCACUCCUGGGCAUCUAUCCAGAGAAAACCAUGACUCGCAAAGACAUGUGUACUCCAAUGUUCACCGCAGCACUAUAUGCAAUAGCCAAGACAUGGAAACAACCUAAAUGUCCAUCAACAGAGGAGUGGCUCAAGAAGAUGUGGUACACAUACACAAUGGAAUAUUACUGAGCCAUUAAAAGGAACAAAAUACCUGCAUUUUUAGCAACAUGGAUGGACGGCAUUAGAGUAAUGGGGCAGGAGUGCUGGGGGGGCACCCACGGGAGCUGGCCACACACGUCAACAUCAUCAGCCUCAUCAGUCAGAAGUGAGGCAGAACCAGUAUGGAAAUCGCUUGGCUGGAUGCCCUCUAAGAUCCCAGCCAGGCCUACAUGUUCUGUUUCUGUGAUUUCCCAUAGAGGGAGUUGAAGGGGCAGAAGGCAGGGGACGGGGUGGCAAAAGAACCCCUGGCAUGUUCCUAAGGACUGAGAUGAGGACAAAAUAGAAUAGCAUGGACUGUGGAGAAAAGAGAGCCCUCCUACACUGGGAGGAGGUGGGAAUGUUGGUGGGAAUGUAAAAUUGUGCAACCACUGUAGAGAACAGUAUGGAGGUUCCUUAAAAAAUUAAAUAAUUUGGAGUUCCCGUCGUGGCGCAGUGGUUAACGAAUCCGACUAGGAACCAUGAGGUUGCGGGUUUGAUCCCUGCUCAGUGGGUUAACGAUCCGGCAUUGCUGUGAGCUGUGGUGUAGGUUGCAGACGCGGCUCGGAUCCUGUGUUGUUGUGGCUCUGGCGUAGGCCGGUGGCUGCAGCUCCAAUUCGACCCCUAGCCUGGGAACCUCCAUGUGCUGUGGGAGUGGCCCAAGAAAUGGCAAAAAGACAAAAGUAAAUAAAUAAAUAAAUAAAAUAAAGGGAUCGCCA